This 394-nucleotide ribosomal RNA is filed under the name uncultured Lactobacillus sp. Its description in RNAcentral is "bacterial SSU rRNA". It matches the Rfam family "Bacterial small subunit ribosomal RNA", at positions 68 to 446 of the family's 1533-position model. Lineage: Bacteria; Bacillati; Bacillota; Bacilli; Lactobacillales; Lactobacillaceae. The record is from RNAcentral.
AACAGAUUUACUUCGGUAAUGACGUUAGGAAAGCGAGCGGCGGAUGGGUGAGUAACACGUGGGGAAUCUGCCCCAUAGUCUGGGAUACCACUUGGAAACAGGUGCUAAUACCGGAUAAGAAAGCAGAUCGCAUGAUCAGCUUUUAAAAGGCGGCGUAAGCUGUCGCUAUGGGAUGGCCCCGCGGUGCAUUAGCUAGUUGGUAAGGUAAAGGCUUACCAAGGCGAUGAUGCAUAGCCGAGUUGAGAGACUGAUCGGCCACAUAGGGAUUGAGACACGGCCCAAACUCCUACGGGAGGCAGCAGUAGGGAAUCUUCCACAAUGGACGCAAGUCUGAUGGAGCAACGCCGCGUGAGUGAAGAAGGUUUUCGGAUCGUAAAGCUCUGUUGUUGGUGAA